Molecule: small nuclear RNA, 172 nt
Filed under: Helianthus annuus (common sunflower)
Lineage: Eukaryota; Viridiplantae; Streptophyta; Magnoliopsida; Asterales; Asteraceae
Description: U2 spliceosomal RNA
Rfam family: U2 spliceosomal RNA
About the family: U2 is a small nuclear RNA (snRNA) component of the spliceosome (involved in pre-mRNA splicing). Complementary binding between U2 snRNA (in an area lying towards the 5' end but 3' to hairpin I) and the branchpoint sequence (BPS) of the intron results the bulging out of an unpaired adenosine, on the BPS, which initiates a nucleophilic attack at the intronic 5' splice site, thus starting the first of two transesterification reactions that mediate splicing.
Source: RNAcentral
UCAGUUUCUCGGCCUUUUUGCUAAGAUCAGUUUAAUAUCUGAUACGAAGGCUAUCGGCCCACUCGAUAUUAAUCUAAUUUUUCACGGGGAAAAACCCACCACAAUAGCUUGCUAUUGGGUCUUUGAGAAUCGCCUUGGUAUUGCACUACUGCCAUAGCCUGACGCACCCCUU